GAUGAACGCUAGCGGCAGGCUUAAUACAUGCAAGUUGAGGGGCAGCAUGAUAUACGCGAGUAUAUUGAUGGCGACCGGCGGACGGGUGAGUAAUAGGUAGGAGACCUACCUCAUACAGGGGGAUAGCAUAGAGAAAUCUGUGGUAAUACCCCAUGAGGUUAUAUGAAUAGAGGCAUAUAAUCAAAGCAUAAGUGAUUAUGCGGUAUGAGAGGGGCCUACUGACCAUUAGCUAGUUGGUGAGGUAAGGGCUCACCAAGGCGAAGAUGGUUAGGGGUUUUGAGAGAGAGACCCCCCACAUUGGAACUGAGAGACGGUCCAGACUCCUACGGGAGGCAGCAGUAGGGAAUAUUGGGCAAUGGGCGAAAGCCUGACCCAGCCAUGCCGCGUGAAGGAAGACGGCCUUAUGGGUUGUAAACUUCUUUACUACGCGAAUAGAGGUUAGUACGAGAUACUAAUAGGAAGGUAGUGUAGUAAAAAGCACCGGCUAACUCCGUG
RNAcentral lists this ribosomal RNA (495 nucleotides) under uncultured bacterium. RNAcentral's name for it is "bacterial SSU rRNA". It matches the Rfam family "Bacterial small subunit ribosomal RNA", at positions 28 to 507 of the family's 1533-position model. The record is from RNAcentral.